UACGAAGGGGGCUAGCGUUGCUCGGAAUGACUGGGCGUAAAGGGCGCGUAGGCGGAUGGUACAGUCAGAUGUGAAAUUCCCGGGCUUAACCUGGGGGCUGCAUUUGAUACGUGCGAUCUGGAGUGAGGAAGAGGGUCGUGGAAUUCCCAGUGUAGAGGUGAAAUUCGUAGAUAUUGGGAAGAACACCGGUGGCGAAGGCGGCGACCUGGUCCUUGACUGACGCUGAGGCGCGAAAGCGUGGGGAGCGAACAGG
RNAcentral lists this ribosomal RNA (253 nucleotides) under uncultured bacterium. Its description in RNAcentral is "partial 16S ribosomal RNA". It matches the Rfam family "Bacterial small subunit ribosomal RNA", at positions 524 to 776 of the family's 1533-position model. The record is from RNAcentral.